CACAGUCAUUCCGGUAGGCACGGAGUCGUUCCUCGAUGGACGUGAUGACCUGGCACCAAAACCACUUAAUGUGUAUGAAGCUGUGUCUGCAUCGAGGGAAGAACCCAGCACUGAAAUGACACAAAUGAAAGAGGACGUCUUCUCUGCUGGGUCUGCGACACUACUUAUCCUAGGAAUCCUCAAACAUCAGGAUGUAGGAAACUUAUGGUGAGAUGCCAAGAACCGCCAUGAGGGAUAUGCAACCUGCAGCUUCACCAUGCUUUUGGGAGAUCAUGUACUACGUGAACCUUGAGUAUCUACAAGCCAGCUACUUUAAGUCCUUGAAAGGGUAGUGAUGUCAUUCAAGCCAGAUCACGAGACAAGGUCCUGUACAAACUGUCAAUCUAAGUGUUGCGACAUCCCUGUCAGUUCUUUUGGACUGAAUACAUGCUGUGUUUGAAAUGUAUUAUUCGGAUAACCUCCCAUCAGGGAAUACCUUGUCUGUUAAUGACGGAUGGACAUGCCAUUGACAUGCAGUGCACACUUUGAUGUUUUUUAUUGUAAUGUUUUCUAUGUUUUUCCGAUGUUCUUUUUUAUUUAUGUUCUGUUAUAUGCUGGUUAUGUAAGUACUGUAUGGAAUGUAGUGACUGUAGAGCCCAAGACAAAUUUCAACCUGGGGACAAAAAGUUCACUCCACUCUGUUAGCGCAGUUAUGGAUGCACUGUAAAUUUUGUAAUUAACCAAAAGUACGGUGAGAAGCCUGUUUGUGCAGAUGGACCUGCUGGCGGGCCUGUUUACUCAUAGCUAAAAAGCAACAUAUUCUCUGUGCAAAGCACAUGGGCUCUUUGCAAAGGGGUUAAACAUUUUCAUGUGCUGUUUUACAGUGUGCUAUACAAAAGGUAAGGUGAAACUAUUUUUUUGAAAUUCUAUAAUUGAAGAGUUCAGAUGCAAAACCCCCUAAGUGCCAUUUCAGAAAAUAAUCUUAAUUCAUUUUUAUUUAAUAUAAAGCUAUCAAAAUUGCAUAUAUUUUUAUUUUAUUUAUGUAAUAUAACUAUUUAUUUGUAUUAUCAAGUACAUAAAUGUAAACCAACCCAACAACAGUGUUGUCUAAAAAUAUAGAAGUGCAGGUCUUCAGAAAUGGAGUUAGGGGGUUUUGCAUCUGAACUCUUCAAUUGUACAGUGUCACUGAAAUCAAAUGGUGCAUUGGUAAAACUGAACCAUUUCCUUUAAUCCUGUUUAGCAGAGCCUAUGUUUGAACUAUACUGUCACCAAUAUUGUAAUGACUGAGUUUUAACCUGUUACUUAAGGCUCUUGGUAAUGUCAUAGCAAUGUUGCUAUGAUGUACUUGAGUCUUUUCAGUCAUGAGUGAUCAGUGUUGCUGAUAACCCGUCUUUGCAAAGAGGCUACAAAGAUGCAUGUAAAUUCAAUUAAGGUUUUAUUGCUCCAAUGCUAUCAUGUGUUAAUGCUACACUGCUGUGAUUUGCAUCUUUAUAGUAUACUUUUAUGAAAUGUAUUGUUAAUUAUCUUCAUUGUUCAGCAAUAAAAAAAAGAUCUGAAAUAUUA
Molecule: long non-coding RNA, 1542 nt
Organism: Engraulis encrasicolus (European anchovy)
Lineage: Eukaryota; Metazoa; Chordata; Actinopteri; Clupeiformes; Engraulidae
Exons: 3
Source: RefSeq, a predicted model, not a curated record